This 253-nucleotide ribosomal RNA is filed under the name uncultured bacterium. Its description in RNAcentral is "partial 16S ribosomal RNA". It matches the Rfam family "Bacterial small subunit ribosomal RNA", at positions 524 to 776 of the family's 1533-position model. The record is from RNAcentral.
GACGAACCGAGCGAACGUUGUUCGGAAUCACUGGGCUUAAAGGGCGCGUAGGCGGGUGAUCAAGUCCGGGGUGAAAUCCUCCAGCUCAACUGGAGAACUGCCUCGGAUACUGGUUACCUCGAGGAAGGUAGGGGUGUGUGGAACGUUCAGUGGAGCGGUGAAAUGCAUUGAUAUUGAACGGAACUCCGGUGGCGAAGGCGACACACUGGACCUUUUCUGACGCUGAGGCGCGAAAGCUAGGGGAGCAAACGGG